This 1055-nucleotide long non-coding RNA is filed under the name Ovis aries (sheep). RNAcentral describes it as "lncRNA (ENSOARG00000025309.1)". The record is from RNAcentral. Lineage: Eukaryota; Metazoa; Chordata; Mammalia; Artiodactyla; Bovidae.
AUUAGAUGGGCACAUGUCUCUUGCCAGCUUGGCUAGUCGGUGGGUACAGUGGAAGGAAGGCCACACUGGCAGACUAGGUAGAACUGCACCAACUGAAGGGUUACACUGUAGUAACACUGGGGCACUUGCAGGCUGGCCAGGCCCCACAGUGCUGCACACACCCAUCUUGGUCUGGUCCAGGCUGCUCCCAAAGGACAGCGGGACUGACUCCAGAUGGGUGGACAUAGGGGGGGCCCUCCUGCUGUCCUACUGCGGGAGAGGCCACCCGCUGUGAGCAGCCAUUUUCUCCUUCCCUGGAGGCCCUCUCCUUCCCUGAAACACUCAACGGACCACCAUGCCCCCCACAGCUCCCUUGGCCACCACCAGUCCAGCCACAGCGGCCCCCUCACAGCCUCCCACAAGCAGUGGGGAUGCCCCUCACUGGCCAUCUGUCCAAAAGGGCUCCCCUUUCUAACAGGUCUGGGAUGCCUUCCCCCCCGCCACCCCACACCUGGCAGGGGAGAAGAGGAACUCAGCCGACACCCUGGAAACAUUCUCAAGGUCCUCGGGCCUGCCGAGAUGAAACCCAGGAGGGAACUCCGCGGCUUCUCCUAGCCACGGUCCCAUGGGGUUUUCAACCUCUCAGCAGCGGGGUUGCACUUCUGCAACAGGAGAUUACACUUCCAGUUUCUUUCCUAAAGGGAAAAAGGAAGAGAGCAACAGAGCUGAUGUGCAUGGUGACGUAUAUCACCUCCCCAAACCGCAGUUGUCAUUGCCAUCUCCAGGCCUGCCCCAGCCCAGACUCACAUGCCUCCCACCCUCGGGGAGCUCACAGCUGCUGUCCCAGAGCUAGAUGCACCCCGGGAAGUAAGGCUCCUGUCCAUGGAGAGGCCCCUCACAGUCCUUCGGGUGAGCCUGCACCACCCCACGCCAGGCUCUGCCACCUUUGCUUAUGUCCCUCCUCAGGUGGAGCACGACGCAAGCCCACUGCUGGUGGGCAGGGGACCGGACGCCCACCUCCAGGCUCUCGGGGCUUAGGGAAGCCUGUGUUUAAUAAACUGCAAGUAUUUCAUUAA